AGCAGUGUGGCGCAGAGGCUAGCGCGCAGGGCUCAUAACCCUGAGGUCACUUGAUCGAGACAAGUCACUGCUA
The sequence is a transfer RNA, 73 nucleotides long. It matches the Rfam family "tRNA". Rfam says of the family: Transfer RNA (tRNA) molecules are approximately 80 nucleotides in length. Their secondary structure includes four short double-helical elements and three loops (D, anti-codon, and T loops). The record is from Rfam.